This 85-nucleotide transfer RNA is filed under the name Felis catus (domestic cat). It matches the Rfam family "tRNA". Rfam says of the family: Transfer RNA (tRNA) molecules are approximately 80 nucleotides in length. Their secondary structure includes four short double-helical elements and three loops (D, anti-codon, and T loops). Further hydrogen bonds mediate the characteristic L-shaped molecular structure. tRNAs have two regions of fundamental functional importance: the anti-codon, which is responsible for specific mRNA codon recognition, and the 3' end, to which the tRNAs corresponding amino acid is attached (by aminoacyl-tRNA synthetases). tRNAs cope with the degeneracy of the genetic code in two manners: having more than one tRNA (with a specific anti-codon) for a particular amino acid; and 'wobble' base-pairing, i.e. permitting non-standard base-pairing at the 3rd anti-codon position. The record is from Rfam by way of RNAcentral. Lineage: Eukaryota; Metazoa; Chordata; Mammalia; Carnivora; Felidae. RNAcentral also lists the same sequence under 2 other names.
GCCUGGGUGGCUUACUUGGUUAAGUGUCUGACUUUGGCUCAGGUAGUGAUCUCGUGGACCAUGGGUUCGAGCCCUGUGUCAGGCU